CUCGCCCCACCGCCCCCUGCGCCCGGCCCGGCCCGGCAGCGAGAGCGGCGCCAUGGAGGCCACCGGGGUGCUGCCGUUCGUGCGCGGUGUGGACCUCAGCGGCAACGACUUCAAGGGCGGCUACUUCCCUGAGAAUGUCAAGGCCAUGACCAGUCUGCGGUGGCUGAAGCUGAACCGCACGGGCCUCUGCUACCUGCCGGAGGAGUUGGCCGCCCUGCAGAAGCUGGAGCACUUGUCCGUGAGCCACAACAACCUGACCACGCUUCACGGGGAGCUGUCCAGCCUGCCGUCCCUGCGGGCCAUUGUGGCUCGAGCCAACAGCCUGAAGAAUUCCGGAGUCCCCGAUGACAUAUUCAAGCUGGAUGACCUCUCAGUUCUGGACUUGAGCUACAACCAGUUGACGGAGUGCCCUCGGGAGCUGGAGAACGCCAAGAACAUGCUGGUGCUGAACCUCAGCCACAACAGCAUCGACACCAUCCCCAACCAGCUCUUCAUCAACCUCACCGACCUGCUGUACCUGGACCUCAGUGAGAACUGCCUGGAGAGCUUGCCCCCACAGAUGCGCCGCCUGGUGCACCUGCAGACGCUCGUGCUCAACGGGAACCCGCUGCUGCACGCACAGCUCCGGCAGCUCCCGGCUCUGACAGCCCUGCAGACCCUGCACCUGAGGAACACGCAGCGCACCCAGAGCAACCUCCCCACUAGCCUGGAGGGCCUGAGCAACCUCGCAGAUGUGGACCUGUCCUGCAACGACCUGACGCGGGUGCCCGAGUGCCUGUACACCCUCCCCAGCCUGCGCCGCCUCAACCUCAGCAGCAACCAGAUCACGGAGCUCUCCCUGUGCAUCGACCAGUGGGUGCACGUGGAGACCUUGAACCUGUCCCGCAACCAGCUCACCUCGCUCCCUUCUGCCAUUUGCAAGCUCACCAAGCUGAAGAAGCUGUACCUGAACUCCAACAAGCUGGAUUUUGACGGGCUGCCCUCGGGCAUCGGCAAGCUGACCAGCCUAGAGGAGUUCAUGGCCGCCAACAACAACCUGGAGCUGAUCCCUGAGAGCCUGUGCAGGUGCACAAAGCUGAAGAAGCUCGUCCUGAACAAGAACCGCCUGGUGACCCUCCCGGAGGCCAUCCACUUCCUGACGGAGAUCGAGGUCCUGGACGUGCGGGAGAACCCCAGCCUGGUCAUGCCCCCCAAGCCCGCGGACCGCACCACCGAGUGGUACAACAUUGACUUCUCGCUGCAGAACCAGCUGCGGCUGGCAGGAGCCUCGCCUGCCACAGUGGCUGCAGCCGCUGCAGGAAGCGGGCCCAAGGACCCCCUGGCUCGCAAGAUGCGGCUCCGGAGACGCAAGGACUCAGCCCAGGAUGACCAGGCUAAGCAGGUGCUGAAAGGCAUGUCCGAUGUGGCCCAGGAGAAGAACAAAAAGCAGGAGGAGAGUACUGACGCCCGAGCCCCUGGGGGCAAGGCACGGCGCUGGGACCAGGGCCUGGAGAAGCCACGCCUUGACUACUCUGAGUUCUUCAUGGAGGACGUGGGCCAGUUGCCUGGUCUGACCAUCUGGCAGAUCGAGAACUUCUUGCCUGUGCUGGUGGAGGAAGCCUUCCACGGCAAGUUCUAUGAGGCUGACUGCUACAUUGUGCUCAAGACCUUCCUGGAUGACAGUGGCUCUCUGAACUGGGAGAUCUACUACUGGAUCGGCGGGGAGGCCACACUGGACAAGAAGGCUUGCUCUGCCAUCCAUGCCGUGAACCUGCGCAACUACCUGGGUGCCGAGUGCCGCACCGUGCGGGAGGAGAUGGGCGAGGAGAGCGAGGAGUUCCUGCAGGUGUUUGACAAUGACAUCUCCUACAUCGAGGGUGGAACGGCCAGUGGCUUCUACACUGUGGAGGACACACACUAUGUCACCAGGAUGUACCGCGUGUAUGGGAAAAAGAACAUCAAGUUGGAGCCUGUGCCUCUCAAGGGGGCCUCUCUGGACCCAAGGUAGGCCCCCAUGCCUCCAGAGGAGAGUGCUUGAGCCCAUCCUCCUCCCCACUAGUGGGGCGCAGUUUUGGGUUCUAGAAAAAAAAGACCUUCCAGCAACCCUUUUAACCCCUGUCUCAUUGAGCUUGGCCGGACCAGUAAGGGGGCUAAACCCCACCACAAGGGAUUUGGGGCAGGGUCAAGGGCAUGAGGGCAGUUACUGCCCCUGCCCAUCACUGCCCCUCCUGCCCCUCCCGUCCAGGUUUGUUUUCCUGCUGGAUCGAGGGCUGGACAUUUACGUGUGGCGGGGGGCCCAGGCCACACUGAGUAGCACUACCAAGGCCAGGCUCUUUGCGGAGAAAAUUAACAAGAACGAGCGGAAAGGGAAGGCAGAGAUCACACUGCUGGUGCAAGGUCAGGAGCCCCCAGAGUUCUGGGAGGCACUGGGCGGGGAGCCCUCUGAGAUCAAGAAGCACGUGCCCGAUGACUUCUGGCCACCUCAGCCCAAGCUGUAUAAGGUGGGCCUGGGCCUGGGCUAUCUGGAGCUGCCGCAGAUCAACUACAAGCUCUCUGUGGAACAUAAGACCCGGCCCAAGGUGGAACUGCUGCCCAGGAUGCGGCUGCUGCAGAGCCUGCUGGACACGCGCUGCGUGUACAUCCUGGACUGUUGGUCCGACGUGUUCAUCUGGCUGGGCCGCAAAUCCCCGCGCCUGGUGCGCGCCGCCGCCCUCAAGCUGGGCCAGGAGCUGUGUGGGAUGUUGCACAGGCCGCGCCACGCCGUGGUCAGCCGCAGCCUGGAGGGCACCGAGGCGCAGGUGUUCAAGGCCAAGUUCAAGAACUGGGACGACGUGUUGACAGUGGACUACACGCGCAACGCGGAGGCCGUGCUGCAGGGCCCGGGACUCACCGGGAAGGUGAAGCGCGACGCGGAGAAGAAAGAUCAGAUGAAGGCUGACCUCACGGCGCUGUUCCUGCCGCGGCAGCCGCCCAUGGCGUUGGCGGAGGCCGAGCAGCUGAUGGAGGAGUGGAACGAGGACCUGGACGGCAUGGAGGGCUUUGUGCUCGAGGGCAAGAAGUUCGCGAGGCUGCCCGAGGAGGAGUUCGGCCACUUCUACACGCAGGACUGCUACGUCUUCCUCUGCAGGUACUGGGUCCCCGUGGAGUACGAAGAGGAGGAGGAGAAGAAGGAAGAGAAGGAAGAGGAAAAAGCGGGAGCGGAGGGCAAAGAAGGCGA
Non-coding RNA from Leptonychotes weddellii (Weddell seal), 3196 nucleotides. The record is from RefSeq and is a predicted model, not a curated record. Lineage: Eukaryota; Metazoa; Chordata; Mammalia; Carnivora; Phocidae.